GAUGAACGCUGGCGGCGUGCCUAAUACAUGCAAGUCGAGCGAACAGACGAGGCUCUUGCUCCUCUGACGUUAGCGGCGGACGGGUGAGUCACACGUGUAUCACCUACCUAUAAGACUGGGAUCACUUCGGGAAACCGGAGCUAAUCCCGGAUAAUAUAUUGAACCGCAUGGUUCAAUAGUGAAAGACGGCUUUGCUGUCACUUAUAGAUGCUUCCGGGCCGCAUUAGCUAGUUGGUAAGGUAACGGCUUUCCAAGGCGACGAUGCGUAGCCGACCUGAGAGGGGGAUAGGCCACACGGGAACGGAGACACGGUCAAGACGCCUAAGGGAGGCAGCAGUAGGGAAUCGUACGCAAUGGGCGAAAGCCUGACGGAGCAAGGCCGCGUGAGUGAUGAAGGUCUUCGGAUCGUAAAACUCUGUUAUUAGGGAAGAACAGAUGUGGAAGUAAAUAUGCACGUCUUGACGGUAACGAAUCAGAAAGCCACGGCUAACUACGUG
RNAcentral lists this ribosomal RNA (497 nucleotides) under uncultured bacterium. Its description in RNAcentral is "partial 16S ribosomal RNA". It matches the Rfam family "Bacterial small subunit ribosomal RNA", at positions 28 to 507 of the family's 1533-position model. The record is from RNAcentral.